UUUUCAUACUUAAGUCUGGUUAUUGUUUCUGAGAGUAUUUUACAUAAGAAUAAAAUCCAGCAAAACAACGAAACUUAUGGAGAACGGUGCUAUAGAAAUAAAAACACAAACAUUCUGAGCUAAAUGGAAUAAGCCACACUAUACUUGGGAGUGCCACGAGUGAUUUCCCAUGAACCAAGUUAAUCGAACCGAAUCUGCUAAUACUUUGCAUGGUUCCGUUCUGCAAAAGAUUAUCAUAUACAAGGACUAAUAUAAAUUAAUACAGAUUAUUGUUAUAUUUUGAACAAUAUUCAGCUUUAAAUGUAUUUCUUAAUGACUAAAAUAUGGAUUUGGGUUAUCAAUUUUGUUACACGCUAAUGAAAUGCAUACACAUUAAUUUUAGACGCAGUUCUAGCCUAUACGAUUUGAUGCGGAUUAUCCAUUACGUCAGCAACUGUAACACCAGCAUUAACACGGUCAAUCUCUGGUAUAAGGGACUGCAGAAAACUAAUGUCGUCAACCGGCUAUUCUCCUAAUGUCUUUAAACAGUUUAGCUAUAGGAGCGGCGUGGCAUGGUCGGGAUCGGCAGCUAUUGGGGCACCUUAUGUUGAAAGGGUCACAAUGGUGAAUCAUACUGCUGAACCCUGCCACAAAAUGUACUGCUGCACCAAACAUGUCACGCCGCUUCUGUAAUCUAUGGUAUAUUAGAGAAUAAACUCUUUACAGUGUGUGUGUAUAAACUCAAUUUUGCUAGUAUGCUUCUGUUGGUACAUUUAAUCAUCAUGGAACAAUACGGUUGAAUGAAACCGGCUUGAUUUUUAACUGCAUGUAUUCAUUUAUAAACAUUUCGAAUGUUACUAUCUUUUUCUUUUUGGUACUUUGUUUGUUGUUUUUUGUUAAAUUUGGUUUGAAGUUAAGCACGAAGAUAACAUGAAUUAGUGCGGGUUUGAUGAUAGUAAAUACUCGGAAAACAGGGGGUGGAGAGAGCCUUUUCGCUGGUCAGAGCCUCGGAUUCUCCCUACCUCCCCCCUCUUAUAUAAAAAUAUCAUAAAAAAUAGAAAAGAGUUAGGGUUGGGGCAGCCGGCUCGCAGCAUACGAUUAACCUGUCUUUCUGGGUAGUUUUUUAGAUGAAAUUAAAACAAAAAAUAAUAAUUAUAAUAAUAAUAAUGCGCAAAGAUUAAGAUAACAUGACAAGUAUUUGUCAUAUUACAUAUGAAUUGUCCAUUCUGUAUUCUGUCUUACUGCAUAUGUUCAUAAAUAGUCCGGUAUAUUUUAUGUUUCUUUCGGCAUAUUGAUUGCUUAAGUACAUGCAUACUUGGAAAGAAUUAUGAUAUUUCUGUCUAUAUAUAUUUCGAAGGCGUUCUAUUGAUGCAUUGUGUUAUUGGGAUAUUGAUUGUUAUAUGAACAGUAGUUAACCACCAUCAUUGAAACCACUUUAAGUUGUUUGUUUGGUAUUAGUUAUAUAGUAAAGGAAAGAAAUAAGGCGUGUAUGCGUAUAUAAACUUGAUUUUAUUAGUAAACAUACAUUAUUUAAAUUGAUCUGAUUUCAUCAAUUUAGAAUUUUUAUUGUCGUGACUUAAAUGGCGCUUACAAAUUGUAAUCUUUAUUCGGGGUACAGUAAAGAAAGUCUUCUGUAUUAAAAUGUUUGGCUCAAGUCAAUUCUAAUUUCAUUUUAAUUUUUGUCCGUGUUGUGAGCAAUAUUUAGUGAUCCACAAAAUAUUUUAUUCUUGUAUACUACGGCAGUAUCAAAAUAAAAGCUCACUUGUCUAGGUUGACCUUCUCGUAUCUGCAACCUCGCGCUCGGUUGGUCAUCUCUUAUUAUUGGUGUUAUUGGGCGGGCGCUCUUUAACCGUUAGAGGGGGCCUUGUACCAUGUGGUCGGCCAUUCACCUGGUCCAUGGAUUGACUGUGUCUUAUAUAAACAGGGUUGUUCAACGUAUCGGCCAUACGAUUAUUAGUGAUCAGUCGAAAGUUGCAUUUGUUAUAUGUACGUGUAGGUCCGUACAUAUUUUUAUAAUUUGUGGAUCACUUUGCUACAAACCUCUAACACAUGGGUUAUGUUGAAACAGACAUGUAAAUCCCCCCUGUUUUCUUACGUUUCCAGUCUGCUGGUUAGCUCAGUCAAUCGCUUGGAUGGAUUAUAUUAUUAUUGUAGCAUAGUUUGCUAUAACCAUUCCCUCGCACCGGUCCGUUUGUUCAUAUAUUACAUUGAAACAAUUUUUUCAAUAUUUUAAUAUUUUUGUGCGUUUGUUUGCUGAAGACUUUCUUGACUUACAUCAGAUUUUAUUUUGAUCUUGGUGUUAUGUUUCAUUUUGCAUUUACUUAAUCUAGGAAGAAUAUUUUUGUUGAUAUAUCAUCUCAUGUCAUAGAGAUCUGUGAGAGCAUCUUUGUCACGUUUCUCAUUAGUGCGAAGUACUAGAACCUACAAUUUCCUAUUAGGUCUGGUAUGUUCUGCUCUUAUUUUCAUAGUUUUCUGCACCUUCGCGCUGCUAUGUUGCUUCCAGGCAUUUUAGCUGGAGCUUUGUCUUUCAUAUUUUCUCAUCAUUUUCAUAUAUACCAUGCUAUAUAUUUACAAUAUGCCAUAAUUUUCAUUUGAAAAUUUACAAUAAAGUCACGGCCUUAUCCCACAUAA
This is a long non-coding RNA of Mercenaria mercenaria, 2610 nucleotides long. RefSeq lists it as uncharacterized. The transcript is spliced from 2 exons. Lineage: Eukaryota; Metazoa; Mollusca; Bivalvia; Venerida; Veneridae. The record is from RefSeq and is a predicted model, not a curated record.